AUGAAUGCGGUACACACAGUGAAAAGUCCUGCUGUCCUCAGCCUAUACACACACACAGCGCCCUGCAGUCCCGCACAGCCCGCAUACCACACCGGCCUGGACACAAACGGUGCCCACACAGAGCUCCCGACCAGAACUCAGCGACUCCUGCCCCCGCUGUGCGGCCUGCGCUACCGUCCCCCGCGUACUAAGCCGAGCUCCACCUCAGACUUCCCGGCCCCCUGUUUUCUCCUCCAGCUCCUUUUCCCCAACAACCCCACCCCCGGGCUUCGGGAAACUUUUCUUCAGGUCCCUAAAAGGGGAAACCUGGAGUUCCUCCGGUCCCGCCCUGUCCCCGGACACGCGCAAGCCGCCCUUUAUUUCCCAGCCCGGCUCCCGCCAGACCCAGCGGGGAAAGGUCACCGUGGGCAGCCCCCUGCCUGCGCCCUGGGGGUGGUGAUAAUAACAGCUGUCACCGGGGGAUGGGCGGGGGGGAGGGAGGGGUGUCGGCCCCGCGCCGAGCCGGGGGCGCAAGGUGGUCGCGGUGACGCGCCGGGGAAGCGCAGAGAAGCAGCGGCGGCGGCGGCUGCGCCUUCCGAGCCCGGGGCGGCGGCCGAGGCGCGCGGAGCUGUCCGUUCAGCACCACCGCGCCGCGCCCAACGCAGGGCCCGCGCCCGGUCACACCCGCUCUGCUCCCGCCCGGGUUCACGGGGCGCCUGCGGCGCGGGCUCCUGCUUCUUUCGGCGGGUGACGGGCGCGCGGAUCCGGAGAAGGGGCUCCGCGAGCGGCGGGACCACGCAGCCACCUGUGAGCCUUCCGCAGCUGCGGGCGGCGGCGGCUUGCCCGGCCCGAGACGGGAGGAGAAGCUCGGCGGCCCCCGCCCGCCGGCCCGCCGGGCGCACACUCGGGCGCACACACUCGCAUCCGCGCACGCACCGCCAGCAGGCAGCGGCCACCGCCGCGAUGCUCGCCCGCGGGUCGGGGAAGUUUCCCGCCGGCCUCGGCCGCGGGCGCCCGUGCUCCCAGGUGUAGCGCCCCCGCGCGGCGC
Molecule: long non-coding RNA, 1027 nt
Filed under: Macaca mulatta (Rhesus monkey)
Lineage: Eukaryota; Metazoa; Chordata; Mammalia; Primates; Cercopithecidae
Description: lncRNA (ENSMMUG00000060948.1)
Source: RNAcentral